AGUGAACGCUGGCGGUAGGCCUAACACAUGCAAGUCGAACGGCAGCACAGUAAGAGCUUGCUCUUACGGGUGGCGAGUGGCGGACGGGUGAGGAAUACAUCGGAAUCUACUUUUUCGUGGGGGAUAACGUAGGGAAACUUACGCUAAUACCGCAUACGACCUACGGGUGAAAGCAGGGGAUCUUCGGACCUUGCGCGAUUGAAUGAGCCGAUGUCGGAUUAGCUAGUUGGCGGGGUAAAGGCCCACCAAGGCGACGAUCCGUAGCUGGUCUGAGAGGAUGAUCAGCCACACUGGAACUGAGACACGGUCCAGACGCCUACGGGAGGCAGCAGUGGGGAAUAUGGGACAAUGGGCGCAAGCCUGAUCCAGCCAUACCGCGUGGGUGAAGAAGGCCUUCGGGUUGUAAAGCCCUUUUGUUGGGAAAGAAAAGCAGCAGGUUAAUACCCCGCUGUUCUGACGGUACCCAAAGAAUAAGCACCGGCUAACUUCGU
Molecule: ribosomal RNA, 491 nt
Filed under: uncultured bacterium
Lineage: Bacteria
Description: partial 16S ribosomal RNA
Rfam family: Bacterial small subunit ribosomal RNA
Source: RNAcentral